CAGUCUGGAAUCAGACAGUCAAGUUGAGUUCUUUCUGGCUCAUAUAUUACAUUAAUAAUGAUUCUGGAAUCAGAACUUAGAAUCAUGUUCUGUUCAUCAUGCAAAAGAAGUAAAAGAAACCAGCUCACUCUCUCAUACCAUAGUUGUGUUGGCUAUUCUGCUAAAAAGUAGUAAACGCUUAUUUUGCUCAGUGAAGUAAAGCAAAAAUGACAGAGUGCAUGUGGGGAUGAGAGCAGUUUUGUGUGGAUAGCUAACCUAUUUUAUUUACAUGGCCAUGUUUCCAUUUCAUUUUUAAUGUUCACCUUGUGGACACUUUCUCCAGUGAACACUAUGGCGAUGAAAAAAGUAUUCCAAAGGUUUUGGAAGAUUUCUGGCUUUUUAAAACUCCAUCAGCUUAAAAAAGUUCUUAACUGCUGGGCCUCUAAAAAUCAUGAUUGUAUUUUUCUUUCCCUUGGAUAGUGAUACAAAAUGUAUGAAGAUUGGAUUUUGUGAUCAAACAAUGUUUGUUGAAAUAAGGUACCUUUUACUAGGUGCCUCUAAAAACUUUUCCAUCAAUUUUUACUUCAGACUCUCUGGAGAGACUUGCUGCUACAUGUGCAAAUCUUGACAGAACUUACUGUCUUAUUCUUAAAAUCUGAAGCCCUGAAGCCUACAUCAUGCCUUCUUUAGAAGCAGAAUUUGCCAGUCAUGACAAAUUAUGAGAUGGUUUUGUGGAGACCAAAAUAAGACCACUGAACACAUUUUCACUCAUGGCCUGACACAGGAUUUGAACCCAGUGCUCCAGAAGUUAAAGGGAACCUUUCCCUGAGUAGCACUUUCCAAACACAGCAAUGCUUCGACACAUUGCAGUGAAAGCUAUC
This is a long non-coding RNA of Dermochelys coriacea (leatherback sea turtle), 860 nucleotides long. RefSeq lists it as uncharacterized. The record is from RefSeq and is a predicted model, not a curated record. The transcript has 3 exons. NCBI's taxonomy places the organism in Eukaryota, Metazoa, Chordata, Testudines, Dermochelyidae.